ACCUGGUUGAUUCUGCAGUAGUCAUAUGCUUGUCUCAAAGAUUAAGCCAUGCAUGUCUAAGUAUAAGCAAUUAUACAGCGAAACUGCGAAUGGCUCAUUAUAUAAGUUAUCGUUUAUUUGAUAGUACUUACUACUUGGAUAACCGUGGUAAUUCUAGAGCUAAUACAUGCUAAAAAUCCCGACUUCGGAAGGGAUGUAUUUAUUAGAUUAAAAACCAAUGCCUUCGGGGCUCACUGGUGAUUCAUAAUAACUUCUCGAAUCGCAUGGCUUGCGCGGCGAUGGUUCAUUCAAAUUUCUUCCCUAUCAACUUUCGAUGCUAGAGUAGUGUUCUAGCAUGGUUACAACGGGUAACGGAGGGUUAGGGCUCGACCCCGGAGAAGGAGCCUGAGAAACGGCUACUACAUCCAAGGAAGCAGCAGGCGCGCAAAUUACCCAAUCCCGACACGGGAGGUAGUGACGAUAAAUACUGAUACAGGGCUCUUUUGGGUCUUGUAAUUGGAAUGAGUACAAUUUAAAUCCUUAACGAGGAACAAUUGGAGGGCAAGUCUGGUGCCAGCAGCCGCGGUAAUUCCAGCUCCAAUAGCGUAUAUUAAAGUUGUUGUGGUUAAAAAGCUCGUAGUAGAACCUUGGGCCUGGCUGGCCGGUCCGCUCACCGCGUGCACUGGUCCGGCCGGGCCUUUCCCUCUGUGGAACCGCAUGCCUUCACUGGGUGUGCCGGGGAAACAGGACUUUUACUUUGAAAAAAUUAGAGUGCUCCAGGCAGGCCUAUGCUCGAAUACAUUAGCAUGGAAUAAUAGAAUAGGACGUGUGGUUCUAUUUUGUUGGUUUCUAGGACCGCCGUAAUGAUUAAUAGGACAGUCGGGGGCAUCAGUAUUCAAUUGUCAGAGGUGAAAUUCUUGGAUUUAUUGAAGACUAACUACUGCGAAAGCAUUUGCCAAGGAUGUUUUCAUUUAUCAGGAACGAAAGUUAGGGGAUCGAAGACGAUCAGAUACCGUCGUAGUCUUAACCAUAAACUAUGCCGACUAGGGAUCGGACGAUGUUAUUUUUUGACUCGUUCGGCACCUUACGAGAAAUCAAAGUGCUUGGGCUCCAGGGGAGUAUGGUCGCAAGGCUGAAACUUAAAGAAAUUGACGGAAGGGCACCACCAGGGGUGGAGCCUGCGGCUUAAUUUGACUCAACACGGGAAACUCACCAGGUCCAGACACAAUGAGGAUUGACAGAUUGAGAGCUCUUUCUUGAUUUUGUGGGUGGUGGUGCAUGGCCGUUCUUAGUUGGUGGAGUGAUUUGUCUGCUUAAUUGCGAUAACGAACGAGACCUUAACCUGCUAAAUAGCCCGUAUUGCUUUGGCAGUACGCCGGCUUCUUAGAGGGACUAUCGGCUCAAGCGAUGGAAGUUUGAGGCAAUAACAGGUCUGUGAUGCCCUUAGAUGUUCUGGGCCGCACGCGCGUUACACUGACGGAGCCAGCGAGUACUCCCUUGGCCGGAAGGCCCGGGUAAUCUUGUUAAACUCCGUCGUGCUGGGAUAGAGCAUUGCAAUUAUUGCUCUUCAACGAGGAAUCCCUAGUAAGCGCAAGUCAUCAGCUUGCGUUGAUUACGUCCCUGCCCUUUGUACACACCGCCCGUCGCUACUACCGAUUGAAUGGCUCAGUGAGGCUUUCGGACUGGCCCAGAGAGGUGGGCAACUACCACUCAGGGCCGGAAAGUUAUCCAAACUCGGUCAUUUAGAGGAAGUAAAAGUCGUAACAAGGUCUCCGUUGGUGAACCAGCGGAGGGAUCAUU
This 1779-nucleotide ribosomal RNA is filed under the name Colletotrichum tofieldiae. Lineage: Eukaryota; Fungi; Ascomycota; Sordariomycetes; Glomerellales; Glomerellaceae. The record is from RNAcentral.